AAAAGGCUGCACUCCAGCUUUCCAUUUCAAGUGUAAAACCUGCUGAAGGAAUAACCGAGUGAAUGAAAGCUAAUACCUGGAGAUGUUUCUGCAAUAGAGAGCCACAAAACUGCAAACCUAUUUAACUUCAAAAGCUUUAGUCUGAAGUCUACGGCUAUAAGCUGGUGUGCAUGACAGAAGGUGGGGAGCCAGAAGAGUCUGCAGAAGUUUGAAAUUUCAAAUGGAAAUUAACUUUGACUUUCAAUAUCUGCAUUUUUGUGUGAUGUUAUUUUCACUAAUUUCAUUAUGGUGACCAGGCAUGUUAUGUUGUCUAACUUUGUGUCCUGACAGGUACACUUGCAUUAGUCACCAGACACUGUAAGAUAAAGCAAAUCAGCAGUGCUGGGUCUAGCCUUUUGGACACCCUAGGCAGGAUUUCAUGGAGCCACCACAUUUCUUGUUAAUGUACUGUAAAAAUAGAGGCUAACUAAUAAUAAUUGCUUUUAUGAGUUAUCUAAAUUAUGUAGAUUUCUAACUGGUUAGCUAUUGUCUAUUGUGGCUAAUUAUUGAUGAAUGGGUGCUCAUUUGGGGUUUAAUAAGUUAGCAUUUAAAUUACAGAUAACCUUCUCAGCAUUCUGGAACCAGGGGUCUGUCUGUCAAGCAGUAUUUGCCUACCCAGCUAGCUUUAAGCUUCAUUUCAAUUUCAGUCUAACCCUGGAGGCAGUGGUGACAGCAUUGCUUUUUUACAAUUAUCAGUGCUUUACUUUCUAUGUAUUUAAAGUGAUCUCUUUUCUCUUGUUUGGCAACUGUUUUGACUCCUCAGGUUUCACAUAACUGACUGUUCAUCUCAAACAUUUUCAUGUGCACAAGGAUUAGUCAUAGCCCAGGAUUAAAAGAGAAAGUUAACCGUAUCUGUAAGGUUAUGUCACACUGAAACUGCCUGCCAAAGCUGAACCUGCUUCAUUAGACAGCCCAGAUCCACUACACCUUGCUGUCCAUGUUCAAGGCAAAAUAAAUAGUUAAAACCUCAAAUAAACAAAUAAAUGGACAAAAACAUACCCUUAUCUAAGCUUUUUUCUUCAGUUUUUCUUUUCCAUGUUUUGGCUCCAGAUGCAUACAUUAUUUUUUGUUUGAGACAUGAUUAACUAUUUGUUAAGAAAUAAGGAAUGAAAAUUCUACCUGGUUAGGCUUAUUGCUUGUUUCUUUAUGUUUUAUUAAAUUUUGUAGUAAUUCUUUCUAUGACAGUCAGACUUCUGUAUGCAGCCAGAAAGCUGUUAUUGUCCAAAUAUUAUUCCUCAGGAAUUCUCUAUAGGGCAAGUUACCUAGAUUGUUAGCAAUCUAUGAGUAUAUAUGUGUGUGUCUGUCUGUGAGCCUCCCUGCAAGAUUAUUUGGCAUAUGAGACACAAGAUACCAUGUUUUAAAAAUCCUGCUGCUGACUAAAGACUGGGUGGGACACAGUAACAUUUCGCUGGUGUCAGAACAAAACGUAUCUUAAUUUUUGUUGUUUUUCAUUUUUUUGGAGAAAGCAGAGUUGCUAAUAAACAUUGAGAUGUGCUUAAA
Pygocentrus nattereri (red-bellied piranha) is the source of this 1539-nucleotide long non-coding RNA. RefSeq lists it as uncharacterized. The transcript is spliced from 2 exons. Lineage: Eukaryota; Metazoa; Chordata; Actinopteri; Characiformes; Serrasalmidae. The record is from RefSeq and is a predicted model, not a curated record.